RNAcentral lists this long non-coding RNA (238 nucleotides) under Mytilus galloprovincialis (Mediterranean mussel). Lineage: Eukaryota; Metazoa; Mollusca; Bivalvia; Mytilida; Mytilidae. The record is from RNAcentral.
AAUAACAAAUCCGGUUUACAAUCUAAAACUGAGGGAAACGCAUUAAAUAUUUCCCCGACCAUCAUUCCGAAUGGCCUCUUUUAUGACGAGACAUACUCAUUGAAUUUUAUAUUAUCUUGUUCUCGUCCUGAACAUGCAUGCAAUAUUUGCCACUGAACACUAAGCAACCAACAAUCAAUCGUGUUACAACAAGACAACCUCUCACCGGACAGUACUGGUCCCUCUUGUUCGCUAUCCC